GUGCUCCGGGGGGUGGGGCUGCGCUCUCUGGUGGAUCAAAGCAAGUUCAAUAUAACGCAGUUUUACCUAUAAGGCGGUAAGAUUUUUGACUCCCUAGGACAGCGUUAUAUCAAGGUAGAGGUGUACUUAUAAUUAUAA
Molecule: long non-coding RNA, 138 nt
Organism: Gopherus evgoodei (Goodes thornscrub tortoise)
Lineage: Eukaryota; Metazoa; Chordata; Testudines; Testudinidae
Exons: 3
Source: RefSeq, a predicted model, not a curated record